This 253-nucleotide ribosomal RNA is filed under the name uncultured bacterium. RNAcentral's name for it is "partial 16S ribosomal RNA". It matches the Rfam family "Bacterial small subunit ribosomal RNA", at positions 524 to 776 of the family's 1533-position model. The record is from RNAcentral.
UACGAAGGGGGCUAGCGUUGCUCGGAAUCACUGGGCGUAAAGGGUGCGUAGGCGGGUUUUUAAGUCAGAGGUGAAAUCCUGGAGCUCAACUCCAGAACUGCCUUUGAUACUGAAGAUCUUGAGUUCGGGAGAGGUGAGUGGAACUGCGAGUGUAGAGGUGAAAUUCGUAGAUAUUCGCAGGAACACCAGUGGCGAAGGCGGCUUACUGGUCCGAUACUGACGCUGAGGUGCGAAAGCGUGGGGAGCAAACAGG